UAUUAAAUAAAGGAAUGGAGAAACGCCCCACCCAACUGACUGUCGACCCAUCACAUUCACGUCGUCAUGCUAAAUCACGUAGAGUAAGAGUCGAGAAAGUUGCCUAUUUUCCUCAAAAGUACGUAAUGUCAUGAUUCCAAAGCUAUAUGAUAUUACAGCGAACAAGUUAAUUAUCUCACACCUUGGAAAUGGUUUGCAACGUUGUACUUCUUGUUUCUCGAAAUUCAUGCUAAUGUUUGGCUUUUGAGCUAGGGCUCAAUUGACUCCCAUUCCCUACUUGAAGGAGAGCUCUCAUUGACAGGGAAUGCAAUGCACCGCGCGGCUCAUGGACGAUUUACGGGCAAUGUUCACAAUGGGCGUUAAUACGAUUCGAAUGGAGUACCCCAUCUCCUCAAAAGUAUCUCUGUGGGAAAGCAACGUUGCUCUGGGUAGAGACGCCGUUUAUAGCUCAGUGGCAGAAACGAACUGGAAGUUGAACUCGGUGCUUUUGGAAUGCAGGUGUCCCUAGACCUGGUGGUGCCAAGAUUAAAUUUAGCCCAUGCCCAAUGUCCUGUCGACACAUUGUGUAAUGCCACAUGCCUCCUAGACCUGUCAAUCACUAUUAUAGACUGUUUAUGGUCUCACUUGGGCUUUACGUUCCAUGAGGGAAGGGACUAAACAGGCAAAAGGAAGAAGACUGGAGGUACAUAUUCUGUGGGAAUAAGAUGGCUGCUGCUACAGCGGUGAUGCAAACGAUUUUGUGCUGUGACCUAUUUCCUGCUUCUGGCUGAGAGCUGUCCACAGUAGCAUGUGUACCAAAUGGCACUCUAUUCCCUAUAUAAUGCACUACCUUUUACCAGGGCCCAUAGGACUAUGUAGGRAAUAGGGUGCCAUUUGGGACUCAGCCGAUGUGGCUCUAGUUAUGCAGAAACACACUGUCAAGUUUGAGGGUAAUUCUGCUGAGUAUGCUAUGGGAUAAAGGUAUGUCCCCUUUACUUGGGCCUCAUUGCACAGAGUGGCGUGUAAGGCCUCCACAAGGUCUCUCCAUCUCUUUCUGUCCCCCUUAGCUUUAACUGGGGUUAACUGUGCACCAUGUCAACAGCUUUAAACCCCUCAACAGCUUAAUAAAAAUGCCUCAACAGCUUCAAA
Salvelinus sp. IW2-2015 is the source of this 1128-nucleotide long non-coding RNA. RefSeq lists it as uncharacterized. The record is from RefSeq and is a predicted model, not a curated record. NCBI's taxonomy places the organism in Eukaryota, Metazoa, Chordata, Actinopteri, Salmoniformes, Salmonidae.